CCCUUAGACGCUCUAGGCGGCACGCGCGCUACAAUGGGUGGUAGAACGUGUAACUGCUCCCGAAAGGGAGGGUGAACCACGAAUACUUACCCGUGAAUGGGAUAGUUUGUUGCAAUUUUCGGACUUGAACUAGGAAUCCCUUGUAAGAAUGCUCAAGAAUAGCGUGCUGAAUACGUCCCUGCCGUUUGUACACACCGCCCGUCGUUUCUUCCGACUGAUACUCAUUGUGAGUUGCAAGGAUUCUUAUUGAAAAAUUGCUGCGAAUGCUUUGUAUUGGAGGAAGAAAAAGCCGUAACA
Molecule: ribosomal RNA, 297 nt
Filed under: uncultured eukaryote
Lineage: Eukaryota
Description: partial 18S ribosomal RNA
Rfam family: Eukaryotic small subunit ribosomal RNA
Source: RNAcentral